Molecule: long non-coding RNA, 503 nt
Organism: Enhydra lutris kenyoni (northern sea otter)
Lineage: Eukaryota; Metazoa; Chordata; Mammalia; Carnivora; Mustelidae
Exons: 3
Source: RefSeq, a predicted model, not a curated record
GCGGCCGCGGCGGGCGCAGGAGGGACUUCCGGCAGAGGCGCCGAGGGGGUGGACGCGCGGUGCCCUCUGUGGCCGCGGAGGGAACGGGUCUGGACUGCGGAGGCCAGGGCCCCACACGGCGCCCCCUCCCAGCGCCUCAGCAUCCGGCAGUGUGAGAGGAGGAGGGCCCUCGCGAGCUCUGCGCCCCCGCCUCGCGGCCCCCGGCCAGUCAGGGCUGAGCCGGGGACGAAAUCCUGCUCGGGAUCUGGACCUCCACCCGCCUUCCCCGCCACAGCCUGUUGCCACGCCUCUUCUCCUACUCUACCCUACCUUACCCUCUCCGUUCUCCUACACUCUCCUACCCGCUCUCCUCCGAUCUUCUGUUUAGGGAGAUUUUCCGUUUCCAGUUUUCUUUCUGAAGGACCUUUCCUUGAACUAUUCUUAAUGAAUGGUUGUAUCUGGUGAAGUUGAUAAAGUGAUCCACUUUAUAAUAAGAGAGAGAGAGAGAGAGCACAAGCGGGAGG